RNA transcript from Papaver somniferum (opium poppy), 3876 nucleotides. RefSeq lists it as uncharacterized. Lineage: Eukaryota; Viridiplantae; Streptophyta; Magnoliopsida; Ranunculales; Papaveraceae. The record is from RefSeq and is a predicted model, not a curated record. The transcript is spliced from 5 exons.
AUUCUUUUAUUCUUUCUCCCUUUCUGCUGCUGAUGUUGUUCUUGGAUUUCCUUUCCCCCAAUUUCUUUGUUAAAAUCUUUUGUUUUCUUGAUCAUUGAAACUCUUCAAUCUUCUAAAAAAUGGCUCCUAAAAAGAUUCCUCCCCCUACCGUGUCCAGUAUCUUCGAGGAUUUUAAAGCUGAUAUUGAGAAGCAGGGGUUAUAUUUAGCUCCAGCAGUUGAUUCCUAUGUUUCUCCUCCCAUCACCGCGGAUAAGUCCAUGGAGUUCAACUACCGAUGGAUUCAAUCUGAAACUCGGACUCCCAACAGAAUGAUUAUCAUUGCAGGUCAACUGCCAGUCGGUCUUACUUUUCCCUCAAGCUCCAACGAGGUGUUUUCCAGUCAAGUGGGAACGCUAUUCGUAUCGCGAAUGAGUUCGUUUAGCGAUCGAAUAGUGGUCCCUCUCAGAUUCCUCUGAUAGCGAAGGAAUUUGAUCCGGUAGAUUAAGAUACAGACUCCUUUGUGGCGAAUUACAUCGACAAAACCCUGUCUACGAGGAAAUACCAAGAGUGGGGUGUUAAGCUUACUCGGAAACCUAUGGAUGACCCUUCUGAAGCCCUUCUUCAAGAUGUCGAACCUUUUGGCAAUGCAAGGAAUGACUGUCUUCGCUUUUCAAAUGAAGAAGAUACGAUGAUGUUCCCUUUGAUUGCUGAGGGUCCUGCGGUCUGGGGUUUUGAUGAAAAUGGUAAAGCUCGCACUGGUCCUCUUCCUGAGCAUAUUUAUCUUGCAGCUCAUGAGCCUGGGAGGUUCCAAUGGUCCGAAAUGCCAGCUGGGUAUACUCUUCCUCCUUCCGGUUUGCUUAAAGACCGCACGAGGAAGAAAUCUUCUGCUGAUUCUCCUGCCUCUGAACAGGAGGAUGAACCAGUGGGUCCUCCGGCUGCUGCAGUGUCUACUCGUAGUCAAAAGAAGCGAGAUCAUCCUGAUAUCCCUUCUCUUGUUGAUAAAGACGGUUCCCCUAGUUCUCCUUCUGCUAAGGAUCAUCCCAAGCGCCAACGUAAGGUCUUAAACUUGGAUGCCUUGACACAAGUCAAGAGUCCUUCUGCAGUUACGGGUCGAUCUACUCCUCCUCCUAAGCAUCAACCAGCGGAGCCUCCCCGCGAAGUCACUCCUCCUCAGUCAACAUCAAGAUCGAGGCUUUUUUACUCUAUUCUCACUGUCGUUGUGGACGAUCCACCAGAGAAAUCGUCCAAAGACAAGGAGGAUAAGGAGAAGAAGCGGGUCUAUGAAGUGGAAGAUCCUGAUUAUGUUCCCGAUAUGGACUUCUUAAAGCAGAUCUUCAUCACAACUCGUGGGAAUGCUUCUCUUAGGUCUCCUGCUGCCGAAUAUCUGGCUUCCUUUAGCUCCGAUACUUUCCUUGCCGAGGAUCAGUCUUAUAUAAUGAACGCCUCGUUAAACCUCUUUCUUGAACAACAUGCAUCUAUAAUGGGACUGGUGUAUUCCGAAAAUUUUCUUCUAUGGUAUUUCGUGAAUCUCCCUUUGAUUUGUUUCUGAUGGGUCCUCUUUAUUUCGUAAGAGUUUAACCGCCAUAUGGCUCAGCUGGUGGAGACUAGAGUGUAUCGUGAACAGUUGGUGAAGUCUGGUGCUCGUAUUUGCGAGCUUGAGAAGUUACUUUACGAAGAGAAGAAGCACUCGUCUAAGCAAGAGAAGAAAUCUGAUGAACUUCGCAAUAUCAAACAAGAUGAAUAUUCUUCAUGGGUUUUCCUUUUCCAACUUCAUCUACAAGCACACAACCUCCUUUUUCUUAUUGACGAUUCCGCUCCACCACCAGAUCUUGAUGCUGCCACCAUACUACAACUUGAUGCCCUCUGCCGUCAAUGGAUGUUCUCCACCAUGGCCAAAGAUUUGAUGCUUACAGUUCUCAAAACUGGUAAAACUGCGAAAGAGUUAUGGAAUCAUCUUAAAAAUCUUUUCCAAGACAACAAAGGAAGUCGUGCCGCUAACCUAGAAAGUAAGUUCGUGAAUCUAAGAUUUGUUGAUUGUAACAAUGUUGAUGAUUAUUGUGAUAAGCUACAGGCACUUUCGAAUCGACUAAGUGAUCUUGAUUUUCCAAUGGAUGAGAAACGUUUGGUUAUACAACUUGUCAAUGGACUUCCGGAGGAAUAAAAUAUUGUUGCCUCCUUCAUCCAACAAUCGAUGCCAUCUUUUGACACUGCUCGAUCUCAAUUACGCACUGAGGAGAUUCGCCGUGAACAGCAAUCAAACUACAGCUCCCAUACUGCCCUUGCGGCUGCCAACAACCAGCGUUCACCUGCUACUUCUUCUUCCGUCACCAGCAGUUUUCACUCAGCGUCUGCCCACCAGCGUUCCGAGCCCAGUUCCCUGAUGGGCCACCAAGCUGCCCUUCUGCCAACUCCACCAGGCCCAAGACGUCACCCUACUGCACCCAACUGGGCUCCCCAAUGGACGUCUCCCCCAAGCCCAUACCCUGCUGUACCUUACUGGAGUCAGCAGCAUCAUCUCUCUGGUCGUGGCCGAGGUCGUCAGUUCCGUGGGCGUGGCCGUGGUGGCGGACGCACCUUCUCAGCUGCCCGUUCACCACAAGCUUACGUCACUCCUACAACGGAAUACCUUCAACCAUCGGAUAUUGCCGAAGCAUAUAGCUCCAUGAGCAUUCGAGCGCCUGAUGAUGACUUCUACAUGGACACUGGCGCAACAUCACACAUCACCUCGGAUCCAGGUACUUUACAUAAUGUUUUUCCUUCGAGCAAUGUGCGGUCUAUCUUUGUGGGUAAUGGCAUCAGCAUUCUGGUAACUGCUAGUGGCUCUAGGUUCAUAGAUCUUCCAUCUCACACCCUUCAUCUCAAAAAUACUCUUGUCGUUCCUUCCAUCAUCAAAAACUUAAUCUCUGUUUUUCAUAUUAGUUGAAUUUUCAUCUCCAUAAGGAAAACGAGGGUUUGAGAGUUGAGUUACACUACUUCGCGAAAUCUUCACUCUUCGUCAUUGGCUCAGAUCAAACGAUUAGAAGAAGACAAAACUCGCAUAAUUAAGAGGAAUGACAAGUCCGAAGUUGAUCUUCGCAAAUCUCGCAACGAGAUUACUGAUUUAAAGUCCGAGAAUGACAAGUUGAAAAAUGAAAUGGCUUCCCUCUUAUCUCGCUUAGAGAGGCUUCAAGGUAAGAAGAAAGAUACGGUAUGAGUUACGAGCUAAAUAAGUAACUCGUAAAUCCUCCCAAGAGUGAUAAGCUCGUCAUUAAUCAUCCUGAUGAAGAUAAAUCCGUUUCUGGUCAUGGCGAAGGGUGGGAUAACUCAUAUCAUGAACUUUGCAUCCAACUUGAAGCCGCGAAAUUCGAGAUUUCUAAACUCGAACAUCUAAAUGAUGACGUUCAAAAAACCUUGGGAUCUGUUAUUUCGCAGAAGAAAGGUAGUUCUAGGUGUUGCGGAUGGCUUCGCUUAGUAUUGCAUUUUAUUUGCUAUGUUUCUUACUCGUCUUUUUAUCUUUGCAAAAUUUGAGGAGCGCUUUAAAAACCAAGUUCUUCAUUUAUCUCGUCAGAAGGAUGAGCUUUCUAAGGAGGUUUCCAAUCUUAAGGAGGAAAUCAUGUAUCUGAAUGAAGAUUUUGUUAACAUGGAGAGGGAUGCCGCUAAGGUCUCGAAUCUUACUCGCAAAAAAGCCCAAGCUGCCAAGGUUCAUCUCUUCAAUGAUAUCUGUGACUCUCGUGGGAUUCCUCGCGUGCCUUUGGAUCUCGAAGUGUUUUCUGAUGAUGAGCCUACUAUGAGAAGAAAGCUCCUUCUGAUGAGGAUGAAGAUGAUGAGGAGACGGAUAAAUUUUUGAUGUGGGCGUUCUUUGAUGGGGGCAUGAGGGACAAAUCAAGAGUUGACAUGUGUUUUUCAUAUUAAUUGAUU